GCGCAAUUAGCUCAGCUGGCAGAGCACCUGACUCUUAAUCAGGGUGUCCGGGGUUCGAACCCCCGAUUGCGCA
Molecule: transfer RNA, 73 nt
Filed under: Candidatus Dorea intestinavium
Lineage: Bacteria; Bacillati; Bacillota; Clostridia; Lachnospirales; Lachnospiraceae
Description: tRNA-Lys
Rfam family: tRNA
About the family: Transfer RNA (tRNA) molecules are approximately 80 nucleotides in length. Their secondary structure includes four short double-helical elements and three loops (D, anti-codon, and T loops).
Source: RNAcentral